RNAcentral lists this ribosomal RNA (702 nucleotides) under Faecalibacterium prausnitzii. RNAcentral's name for it is "bacterial SSU rRNA". It matches the Rfam family "Bacterial small subunit ribosomal RNA", at positions 434 to 1162 of the family's 1533-position model. Lineage: Bacteria; Bacillati; Bacillota; Clostridia; Eubacteriales; Oscillospiraceae. The record is from RNAcentral.
UGUUGUUGAGGAAGAUAAUGACGGUACUCAACAAGGAAGUGACGGCUAACUACGUGCCAGCAGCCGCGGUAAAACGUAGGUCACAAGCGUUGUCCGGAAUUACUGGGUGUAAAGGGAGCGCAGGCGGGAGAACAAGUUGGAAGUGAAAUCCAUGGGCUCAACCCAUGAACUGCUUUCAAAACUGUUUUUCUUGAGUAGUGCAGAGGUAGGCGGAAUUCCCGGUGUAGCGGUGGAAUGCGUAGAUAUCGGGAGGAACACCAGUGGCGAAGGCGGCCUACUGGGCACCAACUGACGCUGAGGCUCGAAAGUGUGGGUAGCAAACAGGAUUAGAUACCCUGGUAGUCCACACCGUAAACGAUGAUUACUAGGUGUUGGAGGAUUGACCCCUUCAGUGCCGCAGUUAACACAAUAAGUAAUCCACCUGGGGAGUACGACCGCAAGGUUGAAACUCAAAGGAAUUGACGGGGGCCCGCACAAGCAGUGGAGUAUGUGGUUUAAUUCGACGCAACGCGAAGAACCUUACCAAGUCUUGACAUCCCUUGACGAACAUAGAAAUAUGUUUUCUCUUCGGAGCAAGGAGACAGGUGGUGCAUGGUUGUCGUCAGCUCGUGUCGUGAGAUGUUGGGUUAAGUCCCGCAACGAGCGCAACCCUUAUGGUCAGUUACUACGCAAGAGGACUCUGGCCAGACUGCCGUUGACAAA